Molecule: ribosomal RNA, 2904 nt
Filed under: Escherichia coli
Lineage: Bacteria; Pseudomonadati; Pseudomonadota; Gammaproteobacteria; Enterobacterales; Enterobacteriaceae
Description: 23S ribosomal RNA
Rfam family: Bacterial large subunit ribosomal RNA
Source: RNAcentral
GGUUAAGCGACUAAGCGUACACGGUGGAUGCCCUGGCAGUCAGAGGCGAUGAAGGACGUGCUAAUCUGCGAUAAGCGUCGGUAAGGUGAUAUGAACCGUUAUAACCGGCGAUUUCCGAAUGGGGAAACCCAGUGUGUUUCGACACACUAUCAUUAACUGAAUCCAUAGGUUAAUGAGGCGAACCGGGGGAACUGAAACAUCUAAGUACCCCGAGGAAAAGAAAUCAACCGAGAUUCCCCCAGUAGCGGCGAGCGAACGGGGAGCAGCCCAGAGCCUGAAUCAGUGUGUGUGUUAGUGGAAGCGUCUGGAAAGGCGCGCGAUACAGGGUGACAGCCCCGUACACAAAAAUGCACAUGCUGUGAGCUCGAUGAGUAGGGCGGGACACGUGGUAUCCUGUCUGAAUAUGGGGGGACCAUCCUCCAAGGCUAAAUACUCCUGACUGACCGAUAGUGAACCAGUACCGUGAGGGAAAGGCGAAAAGAACCCCGGCGAGGGGAGUGAAAAAGAACCUGAAACCGUGUACGUACAAGCAGUGGGAGCACGCUUCGGCGUGUGACUGCGUACCUUUUGUAUAAUGGGUCAGCGACUUAUAUUCUGUAGCAAGGUUAACCGAAUAGGGGAGCCGAAGGGAAACCGAGUCUUAACUGGGCGUUAAGUUGCAGGGUAUAGACCCGAAACCCGGUGAUCUAGCCAUGGGCAGGUUGAAGGUUGGGUAACACUAACUGGAGGACCGAACCGACUAAUGUUGAAAAAUUAGCGGAUGACUUGUGGCUGGGGGUGAAAGGCCAAUCAAACCGGGAGAUAGCUGGUUCUCCCCGAAAGCUAUUUAGGUAGCGCCUCGUGAAUUCAUCUCCGGGGGUAGAGCACUGUUUCGGCAAGGGGGUCAUCCCGACUUACCAACCCGAUGCAAACUGCGAAUACCGGAGAAUGUUAUCACGGGAGACACACGGCGGGUGCUAACGUCCGUCGUGAAGAGGGAAACAACCCAGACCGCCAGCUAAGGUCCCAAAGUCAUGGUUAAGUGGGAAACGAUGUGGGAAGGCCCAGACAGCCAGGAUGUUGGCUUAGAAGCAGCCAUCAUUUAAAGAAAGCGUAAUAGCUCACUGGUCGAGUCGGCCUGCGCGGAAGAUGUAACGGGGCUAAACCAUGCACCGAAGCUGCGGCAGCGACGCUUAUGCGUUGUUGGGUAGGGGAGCGUUCUGUAAGCCUGCGAAGGUGUGCUGUGAGGCAUGCUGGAGGUAUCAGAAGUGCGAAUGCUGACAUAAGUAACGAUAAAGCGGGUGAAAAGCCCGCUCGCCGGAAGACCAAGGGUUCCUGUCCAACGUUAAUCGGGGCAGGGUGAGUCGACCCCUAAGGCGAGGCCGAAAGGCGUAGUCGAUGGGAAACAGGUUAAUAUUCCUGUACUUGGUGUUACUGCGAAGGGGGGACGGAGAAGGCUAUGUUGGCCGGGCGACGGUUGUCCCGGUUUAAGCGUGUAGGCUGGUUUUCCAGGCAAAUCCGGAAAAUCAAGGCUGAGGCGUGAUGACGAGGCACUACGGUGCUGAAGCAACAAAUGCCCUGCUUCCAGGAAAAGCCUCUAAGCAUCAGGUAACAUCAAAUCGUACCCCAAACCGACACAGGUGGUCAGGUAGAGAAUACCAAGGCGCUUGAGAGAACUCGGGUGAAGGAACUAGGCAAAAUGGUGCCGUAACUUCGGGAGAAGGCACGCUGAUAUGUAGGUGAAGUCCCUCGCGGAUGGAGCUGAAAUCAGUCGAAGAUACCAGCUGGCUGCAACUGUUUAUUAAAAACACAGCACUGUGCAAACACGAAAGUGGACGUAUACGGUGUGACGCCUGCCCGGUGCCGGAAGGUUAAUUGAUGGGGUUAGCGCAAGCGAAGCUCUUGAUCGAAGCCCCGGUAAACGGCGGCCGUAACUAUAACGGUCCUAAGGUAGCGAAAUUCCUUGUCGGGUAAGUUCCGACCUGCACGAAUGGCGUAAUGAUGGCCAGGCUGUCUCCACCCGAGACUCAGUGAAAUUGAACUCGCUGUGAAGAUGCAGUGUACCCGCGGCAAGACGGAAAGACCCCGUGAACCUUUACUAUAGCUUGACACUGAACAUUGAGCCUUGAUGUGUAGGAUAGGUGGGAGGCUUUGAAGUGUGGACGCCAGUCUGCAUGGAGCCGACCUUGAAAUACCACCCUUUAAUGUUUGAUGUUCUAACGUUGACCCGUAAUCCGGGUUGCGGACAGUGUCUGGUGGGUAGUUUGACUGGGGCGGUCUCCUCCUAAAGAGUAACGGAGGAGCACGAAGGUUGGCUAAUCCUGGUCGGACAUCAGGAGGUUAGUGCAAUGGCAUAAGCCAGCUUGACUGCGAGCGUGACGGCGCGAGCAGGUGCGAAAGCAGGUCAUAGUGAUCCGGUGGUUCUGAAUGGAAGGGCCAUCGCUCAACGGAUAAAAGGUACUCCGGGGAUAACAGGCUGAUACCGCCCAAGAGUUCAUAUCGACGGCGGUGUUUGGCACCUCGAUGUCGGCUCAUCACAUCCUGGGGCUGAAGUAGGUCCCAAGGGUAUGGCUGUUCGCCAUUUAAAGUGGUACGCGAGCUGGGUUUAGAACGUCGUGAGACAGUUCGGUCCCUAUCUGCCGUGGGCGCUGGAGAACUGAGGGGGGCUGCUCCUAGUACGAGAGGACCGGAGUGGACGCAUCACUGGUGUUCGGGUUGUCAUGCCAAUGGCACUGCCCGGUAGCUAAAUGCGGAAGAGAUAAGUGCUGAAAGCAUCUAAGCACGAAACUUGCCCCGAGAUGAGUUCUCCCUGACCCUUUAAGGGUCCUGAAGGAACGUUGAAGACGACGACGUUGAUAGGCCGGGUGUGUAAGCGCAGCGAUGCGUUGAGCUAACCGGUACUAAUGAACCGUGAGGCUUAACCUU